GGUUAAGCGACUAAGCGUACACGGUGGAUGCCCUGGCAGUCAGAGGCGAUGAAGGGCGUGCUAAUCUGCGAUAAGCGCCGGUAAGGUGAUAUGAACCGUUAUAACCGGCGAUACCCGAAUGGGGAAACCCAGUGUGACUCGUCACACUAUCAUUAACUGAAUCCAUAGGUUAAUGAGGCGAACCGGGGGAACUGAAACAUCUAAGUACCCCGAGGAAAAGAAAUCAACCGAGAUUCCCCCAGUAGCGGCGAGCGAACGGGGAGGAGCCCAGAGCCUGAAUCAGCAUGUGUGUUAGUGGAAGCGUCUGGAAAGGCGCGCGAUACAGGGUGACAGCCCCGUACACAAAAGCGCAUGUGCUGUGAGCUCGAUGAGUAGGGCGGGACACGUGGUAUCCUGUCUGAAUAUGGGGGGACCAUCCUCCAAGGCUAAAUACUCCUGACUGACCGAUAGUGAACCAGUACCGUGAGGGAAAGGCGAAAAGAACCCCGGCGAGGGGAGUGAAAAAGAACCUGAAACCGUGUACGUACAAGCAGUGGGAGCACAGGUUUACCUGUGUGACUGCGUACCUUUUGUAUAAUGGGUCAGCGACUUAUAUUCUGUAGCAAGGUUAACCGAAUAGGGGAGCCGGAGGGAAACCGAGUCUUAAYUGGGCGUUAAGUUGCAGGGUAUAGACCCGAAACCCGGUGAUCUAGCCAUGGGCAGGUUGAAGGUUGGGUAACACUAACUGGAGGACCGAACCGACUAAUGUUGAAAAAUUAGCGGAUGACCUGUGGCUGGGGGUGAAAGGCCAAUCAAACCGGGAGAUAGCUGGUUCUCCCCGAAAGCUAUUUAGGUAGCGCCUCGUGAAUUCAUCUCCGGGGGUAGAGCACUGUUUCGGCUAGGGGGCCAUCCCGGCUU
This 897-nucleotide ribosomal RNA is filed under the name Salmonella enterica. RNAcentral's name for it is "partial 23S ribosomal RNA". The record is from RNAcentral. Lineage: Bacteria; Pseudomonadati; Pseudomonadota; Gammaproteobacteria; Enterobacterales; Enterobacteriaceae.